This 252-nucleotide ribosomal RNA is filed under the name uncultured bacterium. RNAcentral describes it as "partial 16S ribosomal RNA". It matches the Rfam family "Bacterial small subunit ribosomal RNA", at positions 524 to 776 of the family's 1533-position model. The record is from RNAcentral.
UACGUAGGUGGCAAGCGUUAUCCGGAUUUAUUGGGUUUAAAGGGUGCGCAGGCGGCACGGCAAGCCGGCGGUCAAAUCGCGGGGCUCAACCCCGCCCAGCCGUCGGAACUGCCGGGCUAGAGUGGGCGAGAAGUGCGCGGAAUGCGUGGUGUAGCGGUGAAAUGCAUAGAUAUCACGCAGAACUCCGAUUGCGAAGGCAGCGCACCGGCGCCCUACUGACGCUCAGGCACAAAAGCGUGGGUAUCGAACAGG